UGGGGAAUAUUCCGCAAUGGACGAAAGUCUGACGGAGCAAUGCCGCGUGAGUGAUGAAGGCCUUUGGGUCGUAAAACUCUGUCUUCGGGGAUGAAACCAUUAUGUGAUAAUACCACAUAGUAUUGACAGUACCCGAGGAGGAAGCCCCGGCUAACUACGUGCCAGCAGCCGCGGUAAUACGUAGGGGGCGAGCGUUGUCCGGAAUCAUUGGGCGUAAAGGGCGUGUAGGCGGUUUUGUAAGUCAGAUGUGAAAACUUGAGGCUCAACUUCAAGCCUGCAUCUGAAACGACAUCACGUGAGGGCAGGAGAGGAAAGUGGAAUUCCAUGUGUAGCGGUGAAAUGCGUAGAUAUAUGGAAGAACACCAGUGGCGAAGGCGACUUUCUGGACUGAACCUGACGCUGAGGCACGAAAGCCAGGGGAGCGAACG
This 428-nucleotide ribosomal RNA is filed under the name uncultured prokaryote. RNAcentral describes it as "bacterial SSU rRNA". It matches the Rfam family "Bacterial small subunit ribosomal RNA", at positions 355 to 774 of the family's 1533-position model. The record is from RNAcentral.